RNAcentral lists this microRNA precursor (71 nucleotides) under Bombyx mori (domestic silkworm). RNAcentral's name for it is "mir-2807 microRNA precursor family". It matches the Rfam family "mir-2807 microRNA precursor family". Lineage: Eukaryota; Metazoa; Arthropoda; Insecta; Lepidoptera; Bombycidae. The record is from Rfam by way of RNAcentral.
UUAACUCGAAUUUGUAUGGAGUUGGAACGUUUGUCGCUAAGGUCGCUGUUCCAACUGCAUACAUAUUUGCA